RNAcentral lists this ribosomal RNA (490 nucleotides) under uncultured bacterium. Its description in RNAcentral is "partial 16S ribosomal RNA". It matches the Rfam family "Bacterial small subunit ribosomal RNA", at positions 29 to 506 of the family's 1533-position model. The record is from RNAcentral.
AGUGAACGCUGGCGGUAGGCCUAACACAUGCAAGUCGAACGGCAGCACAGUAAGAGCUUGCUCUUACGGGUGGCGAGUGGCGGACGGGUGAGGAAUACAUCGGAAUCUACUUUUUCGUGGGGGAUAACGUAGGGAAACUACGCUAAUACCGCAUACGACCUACGGGUGAAAGCCGGGGAUCUUCGGACCUUGGGCGGUUGGAUGAGCCGAUGGCGGGUUAUCUGGUUGGGGGGGGAAAGGCCCACCAAGGCGACGAACCGUAGCUGGUGUGAGGGGAUGAUCGACCAACCUGGAACUGGGACACGGUCCAGACCCCUACGGGAGGCAGCAGUGGGAAAAUUUGGAAAAUGGGCGAAAGCCUGACCCAGCCAUCCCGGGGGGGUGAAGAAGGCCUUCGGGUUGUAAAGCCCUUUUGUUGGGAAAGAAAAGCAGCAGGUUAAAACCCCGCUGUUCUGACGGUACCCAAAAAAUAAGCACCGGCUAACUUCGU